Molecule: long non-coding RNA, 434 nt
Organism: Herpailurus yagouaroundi (jaguarundi)
Lineage: Eukaryota; Metazoa; Chordata; Mammalia; Carnivora; Felidae
Exons: 3
Source: RefSeq, a predicted model, not a curated record
GUCCAUCCUCGAGUGAAUCCCAAAUAAUUUCGAUGAUUGGAUGAGCAGCAUGCUAUAUGGAGAAGAAGAAAGGCUGACUUACAGACUAUUUCUUUAUAUGUGUGGCUACUUGUUUUCUUUCUUGCUGUGAAAUUUUAAAAUCCUGCAGGAACUGGGAUGUGCUUAACCAUGUGCUGCCCAGAAGGGAUUACGGCAAUAAUGAAAGGAAAUUGCAACUCAGUCUGAAGAAUGCCCUGCCUGUGCUAGCAUGGCAAAUGAGGAGACUGAAGCAGAAAAAAUAUAAUCACAAGCAGAGUUGGGGGGUGUUUUCAAAUGGUUGCAAAUCCUCAGCUCAUGUGAUAAAAGAUGCUGACAUUAAUAUUCUGGUGUGCAAGCUCAUUCCUUCAGCCAGCUGUGAGGCAGAGGCUCUGCGACCGAGGUGAGACUACCGCAAU